GUGGGCUGGGAAAUGGUUGCUGAGUAGCUGGGCCUGCCAGGUCCAGCCUUGUAUCAGCUAGCCUGACCUUGCCCUAGAUAAAUGAUCUGGCACCCCCUUUCAGGGGUCUGCCCUGUGCAGUAGCAGGUGUGAGCAUUCUACCAGUAAUUUGAUGGUCAUGUAUGAUACUGCAUACAGCU
This is a non-coding RNA of Hemicordylus capensis (graceful crag lizard), 179 nucleotides long. RefSeq annotates it as small Cajal body-specific RNA 16. The record is from RefSeq and is a predicted model, not a curated record. NCBI's taxonomy places the organism in Eukaryota, Metazoa, Chordata, Lepidosauria, Squamata, Cordylidae. The transcript has a single exon.